CAAUAGCGUAUAUUAAAGUUGUUGCGGUAAAAAAGCUCGUAGUUGGAUUUCUACCGAAGAUAGCCGGUCGGGUCUUCGACCUUGUAUCUGGUUUUGUCUUUGGUAUCCUCAUAGGGAACGUUUCUGCGCUUUAUUGCGUGGUGCGGUAUCUAUGACUUUUACUUUGAGGAAAUUAGAGUGUUCACGGCAGGCAAACACCUUGAAUAUAUUAGCAUGGAAUAAUAACAUAGGAUCUUCGUCCUAUUUUGUUGGUUUCUAGGGCUAAGAUAAUGAUUAAUAGGGAUAAUUGGGGGCAUCUGUAUCAACGCGUCAGAGGUGGAAUUCUUGGAUUGCGUUGCGACAAACUACUGCGAAAGCAUUUGCCAAGGAUGUUUUCAUUGA
RNAcentral lists this ribosomal RNA (381 nucleotides) under uncultured eukaryote. RNAcentral's name for it is "partial 18S ribosomal RNA". It matches the Rfam family "Eukaryotic small subunit ribosomal RNA", at positions 592 to 976 of the family's 1831-position model. The record is from RNAcentral.